Molecule: transfer-messenger RNA, 349 nt
Filed under: Oscillospiraceae bacterium
Lineage: Bacteria; Bacillati; Bacillota; Clostridia; Eubacteriales; Oscillospiraceae
Rfam family: transfer-messenger RNA
About the family: Bacterial tmRNA, also known as 10Sa RNA or SsrA, is named for its dual tRNA and mRNA-like properties. Its role is to liberate the mRNA from a stalled ribosome. To accomplish this part of the tmRNA is used as a reading frame that ends in a translation stop signal.
Source: RNAcentral
GGGGGCGUAAAGGCUUCGACAGGGUUUAUGAAGUAAGUAUAGCGAGUAGAGGGUUGACUCUUUAACCACAAAGUUUAUUAAAUUAAACGACAAACAAGAACAAUAUCUGUUAGCUGCCUAAGCAGCUGACCGUGAACGACAAGAUUUCCUGCGGCUUGUUAAGUAGCGUCGAUUAAGCAGGACAACGCCUUUAAAAUGCCGUCUGAGUUUUAAAGGUGUAUUUCAGACUAUAUUGUUUGACAGCCCGUUGCUCGGCGUUCUUUCAAUGAAUUUAAAUUUGCAACUACACUCGUAGAAGUAUUUAUGGAUUGGAUUUUGGACACGAGUUCAAUUCUCGUCGCCUCCAGAA